RNAcentral lists this unclassified non-coding RNA (267 nucleotides) under fungal sp. RNAcentral describes it as "partial internal transcribed spacer region". The stretch from base 1 to 46 matches the Rfam family "Eukaryotic small subunit ribosomal RNA", at positions 1786 to 1831 of the family's 1831-position model. RNAcentral also lists the same sequence under 2 other names. Lineage: Eukaryota; Fungi. The record is from RNAcentral.
AAGUCGUAACAAGGUUUCCGUAGGUGAACCUGCGGAAGGAUCAUUACAUUCAGUAGCUUGCUACUGUUAGGGGGGUCGAUCAGCCUGUAUAGUAUCACUACUGAUGAGCAGCACAACCCCCUGUCUGUACCCUUGUCUUUUGCGCACUCAUGUUUCCUCGGCGGGUCUAUGCCCGCCGGCUGGACAACUCUAUAACCUUUUUAAUUUUCAAUCAGCGUCUGAAAAACCUAAUAAUUACAACUUUCAACAACGGAUCUCUUGGUUCUG